RNAcentral lists this ribosomal RNA (904 nucleotides) under uncultured Streptococcus sp. RNAcentral's name for it is "bacterial SSU rRNA". It matches the Rfam family "Bacterial small subunit ribosomal RNA", at positions 66 to 952 of the family's 1533-position model. Lineage: Bacteria; Bacillati; Bacillota; Bacilli; Lactobacillales; Streptococcaceae. The record is from RNAcentral.
ACGCUGAAGAGAGGAGCUUGCUCUUCUUGGAUGAGUUGCGAACGGGUGAGUAACGCGUAGGUAACCUGCCUGAUAGCGGGGGAUAACUAUUGGAAACGAUAGCUAAUACCGCAUAACAAUUUUUGUUGCAUGACAAGAAUUUGAAAGGUGCAAUUGCACCGCUAUCAGAUGGACCUGCGUUGUAUUAGCUAGUUGGUGGGGUAACGGCUCACCAAGGCGACGAUACAUAGCCGACCUGAGAGGGUGAUCGGCCACACUGGGACUGAGACACGGCCCAGACUCCUACGGGAGGCAGCAGUAGGGAAUCUUCGGCAAUGGGGGCAACCCUGACCGAGCAACGCCGCGUGAGUGAAGAAGGUUUUCGGAUCGUAAAGCUCUGUUGUAAGAGAAGAACGGAUGUGAGAGUGGAAAGUUCACAUCGUGACGGUAACUUACCAGAAAGGGACGGCUAACUACGUGCCAGCAGCCGCGGUAAUACGUAGGUCCCGAGCGUUAUCCGGAUUUAUUGGGCGUAAAGCGAGCGCAGGCGGUUAGAUAAGUCUGAAGUUAAAGGCUGUGGCUUAACCAUAGUACGCUUUGGAAACUGUUUGACUUGAGUGCAAGAGGGGAGAGUGGAAUUCCAUGUGUAGCGGUGAAAUGCGUAGAUAUAUGGAGGAACACCUGUGGCGAAAGCGGCUCUCUGGCUUGUAACUGACGCUGAGGCUCGAAAGCGUGGGUAGCGAACAGGAUUAGAUACCCUGGUAGUCCACGCCGUAAACGAUGAGUGCUAGGUGUUAGGCCCUUUCCGGGGCUUAGUGCCGCAGCUAACGCAUUAAGCACUCCGCCUGGGGAGUACGACCGCAAGGUUGAAACUCAAAGGAAUUGACGGGGGCCCGCACAAGCGGUGGAGCAUGUGGUUUAAUUC